This is a microRNA precursor of Chlorocebus sabaeus (green monkey), 73 nucleotides long. NCBI's taxonomy places the organism in Eukaryota, Metazoa, Chordata, Mammalia, Primates, Cercopithecidae. The record is from Ensembl.
GUGGGGUGGCGGCGACAUGGCGGGGGCGGCGGGCCCUGCGGAGGCUGUGCGCCUGACCCCGACCACCCCGCAG